AGUUUGAUCCUGGCUCAGGAUGAACGCUGGCGGCGUGCCUAAUACAUGCAAGUCGAGCGGUAAGGCCCUUCGGGGUACACGAGCGGCGGACGGCUGAGUAACACGUAGGAACGUACCCCAAAGUGAGGGAUAAGCACCAGAAAUGGUGUCUAAUACCGCAUGUGCUCUAAGGAGUAAAGCUCCGGCGCUUUGGGAACGGCCUGCGCAUGAUUAGCUAGAUGGUGAGGUAAUGGCUCACCAUGGCGACGAUCAUUAGCUGGUCUGAGAGGAUGAUCAGCCAGACUGGGACUGAGACACGGCCCAGACUCCUACGGGAGGCAGCAGUAGGGAAUUUUCCACAAUGGGCGAAAGCCUGAUGGAGCAACGCCGCGUGCAGGAUGAAUGCCUUCGGGUUGUAAACUGCUUUUAUAUGUGACGAAUAUGACGGUAGCAUAUGAAUAAGGAUCGGCUAACUCCGUGCCAGCAGCCGCGGUCAUACGGAGGAUCCAAGCGUUAUCCGGAAUUACUGGGCGUAAAGAGUUGCGUAGGCGGCAUAGUAAGCAGAUAGUGAAAGCGUGUGGCUCAACCAUACUCACAUUAUCUGAACUGCUAAGCUAGAGGACGAGAGAGGUCACUGGAAUUCCUAGUGUAGGAGUGAAAUCCGUAGAUAUUAGGAGGAACACCAAUGGCGUAGGCAGGUGACUGGCUCGUUCCUGACGCUCAGGCACGAAAGCGUGGGGAGCAAACGGGAUUAGAUACCCCGGUAGUCCACGCCGUAAACGAUGGAUGCUAGCUGUUAGAGGUAUCGACCCCUCUAGUAGCGAAGCUAACGCGUUUAAGCAUCCCGCCUG
Molecule: ribosomal RNA, 830 nt
Filed under: uncultured bacterium
Lineage: Bacteria
Description: bacterial SSU rRNA
Rfam family: Bacterial small subunit ribosomal RNA
Source: RNAcentral